Molecule: long non-coding RNA, 842 nt
Filed under: Coturnix japonica (Japanese quail)
Lineage: Eukaryota; Metazoa; Chordata; Aves; Galliformes; Phasianidae
Description: lncRNA (ENSCJPG00005012432.1)
Source: RNAcentral
ACCAGGACUGGCUUUUCUCCCAGAGAAGUAAGGCUUUCCCAGCACAGCCACCCAUCGCAGACAAGGAGAUCUGUGACUGCAUGAGAGACUAAGUUUCUUUAAAACUAUUCUGAAGUACAGGAAAAAAAUAAUAAUCUGUUUAUCUGCCUGUAUAACUGAAAAAUUCGAAUGUUCCACAGCGUAGUUGUUUAACUACUGCAGGACACAUUUGCCUACAGAGAUAAGUUUCGCAACUGUGAAAAUCUGGUGUUACAGAAACUGUAAAGCUAUGGGAAUUGUCUAGAAAGUGAAAGGAGCCUUGCAAAUCACUGGAGAGAUCCUCAUCUUGGAAAAUAUAGUCAGAUUCUGUUAAAAACAACCCUUGGAGAGGCGGCAUUGCCCCAGUCCCAACAGCUGACUGGCACAUACAUCAUACUCAGUGCAUGGGGAAACUGACUAUCAUCAACUCUGCAUGAAGCUUCCACAAACACACAGCACGGCUGCAGAAGGAACUACUGUGUGCAGAACAUUCAGGUAAUCUCUAAUUACUGCCAGCCCUCGGUGCAGUAUUCUCUCAUUUAUAAAUGAAAUACUACACAGCAUAUCAGGACCUCCUGUCCUCUAGCAGUCCCCAGGCUCUCUGGAUUAUGAAUCACUGCCAUUGAAACUGUCACUCUGAUUACCUCAUGACUUAGGAUAAUUCUGGGGAGCUUUACUCAGAGAUACUUUCUCAGCUCACAAUGUGACCACAGAGCAACCAGAAGCCUGGCUGUGCCCAUAGCAUCUCUCUUGGGGUUGCUGCUUCUACAUAUUAAGUUACAUUUUUAUGAAAAGAAAAAAAGAAAAAGAAUGUAGGAAUGGAA